RNAcentral lists this ribosomal RNA (500 nucleotides) under uncultured bacterium. RNAcentral's name for it is "bacterial SSU rRNA". It matches the Rfam family "Bacterial small subunit ribosomal RNA", at positions 30 to 524 of the family's 1533-position model. The record is from RNAcentral.
AUUGAACGCUGGCGGAAUGCUUUACACAUGCAAGUCGAACGGCAGCACGGGGCAACCUGGUGGCGAGUGGCGAACGGGUGAGUAAUACAUCGGAACGUGCCCAAUCGUGGGGGAUAACGUAGCGAAAGUUACGCUAAUACCGCAUACGAUCUACGGAUGAAAGCGGGGGAUCGCAAGACCUCGCGCGAAUGGAGCGGCCGAUGUCAGAUUAGGUAGUUGGUGGGGUAAAGGCUCACCAAGCCAACGAUCUGUAGCUGGUUUGAGAGGACGACCAGCCACACUGGAACUGAGACACGGUCCAGACUCCUACGGGAGGCAGCAGUGGGGAAUUUUGGACAAUGGGCGCAAGCCUGAUCCAGCCAUUCCGCGUGCAGGAUGAAGGCCUUCGGGUUGUAACUAGCUUUGUACGGUAACGAAACGGACGAGCUCUAAUACAGUUGCUAAUGACGGUACCGUAAGAAUAAGCACCGGCUAACUACGUAGCCAGCAGCCACGGUAAU